RNAcentral lists this transfer RNA (66 nucleotides) under Gekko swinhonis (Peking gecko). RNAcentral's name for it is "tRNA-Val". It matches the Rfam family "tRNA". Rfam says of the family: Transfer RNA (tRNA) molecules are approximately 80 nucleotides in length. The record is from RNAcentral. Lineage: Eukaryota; Metazoa; Chordata; Lepidosauria; Squamata; Gekkonidae.
CAGGAAGUAGCUUAUUAACAAAGCAUUCAACUUACAAUUGAAAGAGGUUUACGGAAACCUUCUUGA